GGUUCGGAGCUAACCCUUGCUCCUACGUCCACUCCCCAAGUCUCACUUGGAAAUUCACUAUAACCCCUCGGAUUACAGCCGGUUGUUUUACAAGCUCACAACCAAACUUGUUGUUUUACGAGGUCACAACGAACUCGGUCGGUUUUUCCAGGCUCACCGACUAGAACCACCCCGAUUGUUUUUUCGGGAUCACAAUCGAACCCUUACACCGUUGGUUUCAACCUAGGCUCACC
RNAcentral lists this long non-coding RNA (233 nucleotides) under Phoenix dactylifera (date palm). RNAcentral describes it as "long non-coding RNA (PDAC_LNC005685)". Lineage: Eukaryota; Viridiplantae; Streptophyta; Magnoliopsida; Arecales; Arecaceae. The record is from RNAcentral.